This 293-nucleotide ribosomal RNA is filed under the name uncultured bacterium. RNAcentral's name for it is "partial 16S ribosomal RNA". It matches the Rfam family "Bacterial small subunit ribosomal RNA", at positions 29 to 318 of the family's 1533-position model. The record is from RNAcentral.
ACGAACGCUGGCGGCAGGCCUAACACAUGCAAGUCGAACGGUAGCAGGAAGAAGCUUGCUUCUUUGCUGACGAGUGGCGGACGGGUGAGUAAUGUCUGGGGAUCUGCCCGGUAGAGGGGGAUAACCACUGGAAACGGUGGCUAAUACCGCAUAAUCUCGCAAGAGCAAAGUGGGGGACCUUCGGGCCUCACACUACCGGAUGAACCCAGAUGGGAUUAGCUAGUUGGUGGGGUAAGGGCUCACCAAGGCGACGAUCCCUAGCUGGUCUGAGAGGAUGACCAGCCACAUCGGAA